Molecule: small RNA, 125 nt
Filed under: Marmota monax (woodchuck)
Lineage: Eukaryota; Metazoa; Chordata; Mammalia; Rodentia; Sciuridae
Source: RNAcentral
GCUGGGCUUGGUGGCACAUGUUUGUAAUCCCAGCAGCUCAGGAGGCUGAGGCAGGAGGAUCGUGAGUUCAAAGCCAGCCUCAACCAAAGUGAGAUGCUAAGCAACUCAAUGAGACCCUGUCUCUA